CCGGCGAGGUUUAUUUCAGCGCCGCCGCGGGGGCUGCUCGAGGCCGGUGUCCCGGAGGAGCCGAGCGGCCGCCUGCUGCACCCGCGGGUCCCCGUCGCUCCGCAGCACCCGCAGAGCUGCAACGGCACCGGCACCGGCGUCAGGGCCGCACCCGGCACCGGCCCGGCCGCUGGGUCAGCGACCGCUGCGGUGCCGGGGCCCAAACUGCCCCUGGGGCGACGCGGGACGCGCUGUCCUCGGCCGCAAAACACCCCCCCGCCGCCCCGCAGCAAGCGGGUCACCUCGGCUUUAACUGCCUGGGUCGUGGGGGCCGCCUGGGUUUGGCCCAGCAGGGUCCGUGUCACCAGACGCAGACCAGCCCCAGGAUCAGGCUGCUUCCCCAGACGCAGGGGCACAGCGCUGCCCUUCCUGGAGCCCGGGUCUGGCGGGCGGCAGAGGGACACGGGCUGCCCCGGCCCCGGCACAGCCCGACACGGCUCACGGCGAGAGUUUCGGCUUCCUACCUCGCUCCCGGGAGGCCGCGACGUCGGGCUCCUCCUCUCCGUCCUCGCCCCCGGCUCUCCCCCGGCUCUCGGCCCGGCCCGGCAGUGUCGCCCGCGGCCGCCAGGCGGAGCCCAAGUGCGCCCGGCCCGCAGCGCCGCCCCGCAGCAGCAGCAGGCGGUGCCCGAGGCCCCGCCCCGCCCCCUUCCCUCCCAUUUAAGCGCCGCCCGGUUCCCGCUCGUCUUUCUUCUUGUGCGGUCGCAGUCGGAGCUGCUCUCUGCUCCCCUCUCCGUCGGGUCGGUCCUGCCGGCCCGGCCCGCUCCCGUCCCCCUGCGCUGGCGGUGCCGCUGCUCCCGGUYCUGCCUGCCGGCUCCUGCCGUGCCCGGAGCUUCGCUCUGUGUCCUGGGACUUCUCGCUGCUGGGGCGGCCCCUGGACCUGCUGCCGGUUCCCCUAGUCCCGCUGCCACCUGGUCGUUGCCUGUUUUCCACCUUCCUCGCCCAGGUCCUGCAGGGAAGGGGCCAAGUCAGAGCCUGCUCUGGGCACCCGGUGCUUCCUGGGGCUGA
RNAcentral lists this long non-coding RNA (1044 nucleotides) under Dromaius novaehollandiae (emu). RNAcentral describes it as "lncRNA (ENSDNVG00000014237.1)". Lineage: Eukaryota; Metazoa; Chordata; Aves; Casuariiformes; Dromaiidae. The record is from RNAcentral.